CGCGCAGGCGGUGAUUUAAGUUUGGUGUCUAAGGCACGGGCUCAACCUGUGUACGCACUGAAAACUGGAUCACUUGAGUGCGAGAGAGGAAAGUGGAAUUCCACGUGUAGCGGUGAAAUGCGUAGAGAUGUGGAGGAACACCAGUGGCGAAGGCGACUUUCUGGACCGUAACUGACGCUGAGGCGCGAAAGCGUGGGGAGCAAACA
This 206-nucleotide ribosomal RNA is filed under the name uncultured bacterium. Its description in RNAcentral is "partial 16S ribosomal RNA". It matches the Rfam family "Bacterial small subunit ribosomal RNA", at positions 568 to 774 of the family's 1533-position model. The record is from RNAcentral.